This is a small RNA of 65 nucleotides. It matches the Rfam family "Bacillaceae-1 RNA". The record is from Rfam.
AGGAAAAGGAACCACGCUAAGGGCGUGACAUCGUGUCACAACGCCUGGUACCUACAUCCUGUAGG